CUGGAUCUCUGACCAUCACAAACAUCACAACUGAACAUGCUGGACGUUAUUUACUGCAUUUAGGACCAAAACAUUUAAAUCUAAACCUGUCAUUAAAAGCUUUCAGUGUUUCUGUCUCUGACUCUGUCCACUGCUGUGGUUCUACUGAAGCUGUGAUCCGAUUGGUCCUCUCUGCUCUGGUGGGCGUGGCUACUGUCAUUCUUCUGGCUUAUGACAUCAGAAGAACUGAACAAAAUCAACCACAGAUUCACACAUCAGGUAUUGAAAUCUGAAGGAGACGCUGAACUUUAAAACUUCUCCAAGUGUGUUUUGUGUUGUUUGAUUAAUAGUUGCUUUACUUGUAUGAUUCAUUAUAUCAGGUUUUCAUAUUUGAUUCAGGGUUUAAGGGCUUUUAAAAUGUAAUUCUAUAAUAAUGUUUUUAUUGUACAGAUGCAGUUUAAAAGCUUGUUGAUUAUAUUUCUCUCAGAUAAGACUCUGAUCUCACUGUACUAUUCAUUUGUUUUCUGUAUUUGCUUGCCUUUAUCAAUAAAGUUUUCUCA
Long non-coding RNA from Carassius gibelio (silver crucian carp), 539 nucleotides. RefSeq lists it as uncharacterized. The transcript is spliced from 3 exons. The record is from RefSeq and is a predicted model, not a curated record. NCBI's taxonomy places the organism in Eukaryota, Metazoa, Chordata, Actinopteri, Cypriniformes, Cyprinidae.